Molecule: non-coding RNA, 72 nt
Organism: Nippostrongylus brasiliensis
Lineage: Eukaryota; Metazoa; Nematoda; Chromadorea; Rhabditida; Heligmosomidae
Source: Rfam
AUCUCAGUAGCAUAGUGGUUAGUGCACAGCCCCGGAUAGGCUGAGACCCGAGUUCGAAUCCCGCUUGAGGUG